RNAcentral lists this ribosomal RNA (445 nucleotides) under uncultured bacterium. RNAcentral describes it as "bacterial SSU rRNA". It matches the Rfam family "Bacterial small subunit ribosomal RNA", at positions 355 to 823 of the family's 1533-position model. The record is from RNAcentral.
UCGGGAAUUUUGGGCAAUGGGGGAAACCCUGACCCAGCAACGCCGCGUGAAGGAUGAAGUAUUUCGGUAUGUAAACUUCGAAAGAAUAGGAAGAAUAAAUGACGGUACUAUUUAUAAGGUCCGGCUAACUACGUGCCAGCAGCCGCGGUAAUACGUAGGGACCAAGCGUUGUUCGGAUUUACUGGGCGUAAAGGGCGCGUAGGCGGCAUGACAAGUCACUUGUGAAAUCUCUGGGCUUAACCCAGAACGGCCAAGUGAUACUGUCGCGCUAGAGUGCAGAAGGGGCAAUCGGAAUUCUUGGUGUAGCGGUGAAAUGCGUAGAUAUCAAGAGGAACACCUGAGGUGAAGACGGGUUGCUGGGCUGACACUGACGCUGAGGCGCGAAAGCCAGGGGAGCAAACGGGAUUAGAUACCCGCGUAGUCCCUGAGCGGGCUGGCAAGGCGC